RNAcentral lists this long non-coding RNA (1667 nucleotides) under Daphnia pulicaria. RNAcentral describes it as "uncharacterized LOC124312563". Lineage: Eukaryota; Metazoa; Arthropoda; Branchiopoda; Diplostraca; Daphniidae. The record is from RNAcentral.
GCUGUCAGUCUGUUACUAACGUACCGUUCUAGGUUUAUUUUUAUUUUCCCUUCUUCUUCAAACUUCGGAGGGAUGACGUAGUCUCAAAGUAAGGUUAGUGUUAAUGUUAAGAAAACUGGUGAAAGAAAUUCUUAUUUCUUCUUCUCAUAAUAGUACAUACCAACAAAACUAUAGUCAGCAGUACUCAAUAAAAUACCGUAUGUCUGAUAAACUUAAUGAAUAACUUGGCUAAGGACCCAACAGAAAAUUUGAUAACAUUUGUGUAAAAUUACGAUAUAAUUAAAUUAGAUCAUGUGAAUACUUGACUGAAUUAUUUGUAUUUCAAAUGAAUUGACAGAAGAAAUAAAUCAAGAAACAUAGAAAAUGAUUGCCAUUAAAAGUUUGUCGAAUCGCCUGCCUCCUCGUUGUUAGAGUUGUUUUUUUUACGAUUUUUCUCUUUGUGCUUCUCGUCAGCCACACCCAACGGUUUCUGAGAAUCAGCGACAUUGGCUGCUUCAGACAUCAAAGUCUCUUCUUUAGAUUUCUGGCAACAAGUUUGGUCUUCGCCGGUUCUUGAAUAAUUUCCGGGUUCUUCGUAGCAAAAGGAUGUCGGCAGCCAAUCGGCGAGACAUGCAGACACCAUCGAUUUGCAAGCGCCAAAUGUCCCCACCACCGCUUGUUCCAUUUUAUCAAUACGAGCGACAGCUUUUUCUAGGAUUCCAUCCGCUCUCAUUUCUUUUGACUUUGAGUACCGGCUUUUAUUUUUAUUCCGUUUGUUUAUUUUCCGGUUUCCACUGGAUCUCUCCGGUAUCUGUGGAGUUUCAGCAGCGAUUGAUUUCAAGGGCGACGACUCUGCGGUUGCUUCUGGCAUCAACCCAACAGGUUCUGAUAUGGACGAACAAGUAGCGAAACAGACAUGGGAGUCCUCAAAUGUGUUCGGAACGGAAAGAGCUUCAACUAUGCCAUUUAACUCGGUGUGCUGGGUCUCAUCCGUUGAUGGUUUAACUUCACAAAAUCCGGAAAGCGAAGAAGACUCGUCCGCUACUGCCUCGUUCUUUUCUUGCUGGACAGCCGGCUCAUCUUCGUCUAAAGAUUCAUCACUAUCCCACUUUGGCUGACAGAUCGGGUCGACAUGCGGCAAAUCGCUUGGGAAUCCGCGAGUCUCAUCCGCAAUUUGAGGCAUCGGGCAGUUUGAGUCCGGAAUGCAGCUCGGUAACUCCGGAAGGGCGGAUGUCUCUUCAUUGACGAAUUCCGUUUCAACGGAUUUUUCUGGUUUGGCCAAAAGUGGAGCAUCUUUCGACGAACUAUUCAGUUUCUCGUUUUCUUUCUCGAGUGAAUGAAUGAAGGAUUUCAAUUUUUUGUUUUCGUCUUGAAGUUUAGCUACUUUCUGAUAGCAAUCACUGAUCAAAUCAACCAAUUUCUUUUUGCAUUGCUCGAGAAGAAUAAAUAGAGUUCGAUCGGCUUGCUCAGAGACCUUUUGUGCCAGAGUUUCCAAUUCCUCCAAGAGCCUUUUGUUUUGGGAUUCUAACUCGUCGUGGCGUUUCAGCAAUUGUUGAAUUUUUUGCUGGGAAACAGUUAGUUCCGUUUCCAUCGCCGUUAUUGUGGCGUCUCCGGCAGGAAUGAACUCGGAUUCAGCGACGAUUGAUGGUGACACAACGAAAUUCUCAAGAAAGUAGUUUGUAAAUGUA